RNAcentral lists this ribosomal RNA (395 nucleotides) under Novosphingobium sp. R-45660. RNAcentral describes it as "bacterial SSU rRNA". It matches the Rfam family "Bacterial small subunit ribosomal RNA", at positions 24 to 445 of the family's 1533-position model. Lineage: Bacteria; Pseudomonadati; Pseudomonadota; Alphaproteobacteria; Sphingomonadales; Sphingomonadaceae. The record is from RNAcentral.
UCAGAACGAACGCUGGCGGCAUGCCUAACACAUGCAAGUCGAACGAGAUCCUUCGGGGUCUAGUGGCGCACGGGUGCGUAACGCGUGGGAAUCUGCCCUUGGGUUCGGAAUAACAGUGAGAAAUUACUGCUAAUACCGGAUGAUGUCUUCGGACCAAAGAUUUAUCGCCCAGGGAUGAGCCCGCGUAGGAUUAGGUAGUUGGUGGGGUAAUGGCCUACCAAGCCGACGAUCCUUAGCUGGUCUGAGAGGAUGAUCAGCCACACUGGGACUGAGACACGGCCCAGACUCCUACGGGAGGCAGCAGUGGGGAAUAUUGGACAAUGGGCGAAAGCCUGAUCCAGCAAUGCCGCGUGAGUGAUGAAGGCCUUAGGGUUGUAAAGCUCUUUUACCAGGGA